This 671-nucleotide ribosomal RNA is filed under the name Cutaneotrichosporon jirovecii. RNAcentral describes it as "eukaryotic LSU rRNA". It matches the Rfam family "Eukaryotic large subunit ribosomal RNA", at positions 1 to 661 of the family's 3401-position model. Lineage: Eukaryota; Fungi; Basidiomycota; Tremellomycetes; Trichosporonales; Trichosporonaceae. The record is from RNAcentral.
CUGGUCUCAAAUCAGGUAGGACUACCCGCUGAACUUAAGCAUAUCAAUAAGCGGAGGAAAAGAAACUAACAAGGAUUCCUUUAGUAACGGCGAGUGAACCGGGAAAAGCUCAAAUUUGUAAUCUGGCUGUCUUCGAUAGUCCGAGUUGUAAUCUAUAGACGUGUUUUCCGUGCUGGAUCGUAUCUAAGUCCCUUGGAACAGGGUAUCAAAGAGGGUGACAAUCCCGUGCUUGAUACGACGACCAGUGCUCUGUGAUACACGUUCUACGAGUCGAGUUGUUUGGGAAUGCAGCUCAAAAUGGGUGGUAAAUUCCAUCUAAAGCUAAAUAUUGGCGAGAGACCGAUAGCGAACAAGUACCGUGAGGGAAAGAUGAAAAGCACUUUGGAAAGAGAGUUAAACAGUACGUGAAAUUGUUGAAAGGGAAACGAUUGAAGUCAGUCGUGUUCUUCAGAUUCAGCUGGUUCUUCCAGUCUACUUCUGUUGAACGGGUCAACAUCAGUUUUGUCCGGUGGAUAAAGGUAGUAGGAAUGUGACUCCCCCGGGAGUGUUAUAGCCUAUUAUUGCAUACACUGGGUGAGACUGAGGACUGCAGCUCGCCUUUUGGCCGGUCUUCGGACACGUUCGAGCUUAGGAUGUUGACAUAAUGGCUUUAAACGACCCGUCUUGAAACA